Molecule: long non-coding RNA, 2805 nt
Filed under: Taeniopygia guttata (zebra finch)
Lineage: Eukaryota; Metazoa; Chordata; Aves; Passeriformes; Estrildidae
Description: lncRNA (ENSTGUG00000020618.1)
Source: RNAcentral
AGUGCUGCAACAUAAUUUUAUUGCAAGGAAUAAAUAAACAGCAUAUUAAAAGUAGAAGAAAUAAACAGAAAAUAUUAGGGAAUAAUCUCUGAGCAAGUGCUAUUAGAAAUAAGAGUGCUUUCUUUUUAUUUUUUUUUUUUUUUUAAUAGCAUUGCUAAUGGCACUGGGUAAGAAGUGAUUUGUUUGGCUGUAAAUCUGAAAUGAGAAAUUAACUUUAUUUAGCAGGUCAUCCUUCACAAAUGCUAGAGUUCAGCUGAAGUAAAGUUAUGCUCUGGUCAGUUCCUCUCAGAAAUGCCAAGAUCCUUUAGAACACUGAAAUUUUUAAAUGCUGAAAUACUGCAGGAUAAUUCCUAUGUUCCAUAUAUGCUUACAUUGCUGAACAAUGGCAGAAGUUGGCAAAUCCUUUUCAAAAGACCAAUUCCCAUCUUGAGUAAUUCCACUGUUACUCAAUGCACAGUUCCCAGGCAGUGCAGUACAACUCCCUGGCGUCUCAGAGGGCAUUUUAUAUUAGAUAGGAUGGAUACUUUAAAUAGCCCCAGAUUCAGUUCCAGUUCACACUUUAGACUAAUAAGGCUGAAAGGAAUUCAAUUUUUCCACUUUUUUUUUUCUUACUCAGUGUGGUCCUUUCCUCAGAGCAUUCUGGUUAAUGUUACUUUCUGGUUCUCAAGUAUUAGGCAGUGUCUCCCUGGCUUCACUUUUCUUGUCUUUGUAGCAGUAACUCCUCCUGAGUCUCUGUGAUUCCUUGCUAUUGCUAUGUUGGGAAAGUCAGAGGGCUACAAGAAAUGUGUGCCCAGGCAGAGAAAGGCUCAGAUUCUCUGUGUCAUGGCUGAAUGGUCUAUUACAAUGGAGCUGCUGUAUGAAAAAAAAGCUUCUUCCAUUUCUUUUCUUUUUAAAAGAAAAGAGUGAUCUCUCUUUGGCCUUGGAACAAAUUCAGACAUUAACUACAAGGAAAUAGUUCAGGCACAAGACACAGGGAAAAAUUAUGUAGCACAAAUGGCCAAGGCAACCCUGGAGCAAGAGAGCCUUUACUGACACUCUCUGGUGUCUGCACAGUCCCUUUGUUGGCACUUGAGAACCCCUUUUCUUGGUAUCAAUUUGUCUCUCAGGUACUGUAAAGAGAGGCCUGAACUGUCUAAAACACCUUGAAGCCCCAGGAGCCAAAGUCUAGAAGACAGGUAUUGAAAUGCUGAGCAGAGUUACCUUUGUCUUCCCCUCUGUGUGUCUUGUUCUUCAGCACAUGUUCUUUUGUCAUAAACUCAUUUAACAUUUUAGAUUUAAAAUCUACCAUGACUGUUUUCAUGUUUGAUGCUUCAGCAUGUUCUUCAAGGAUGAUAGAUAGCCCUUCAUAUUUGUUUUAAAGAUCAUGCAAAUCUUUUAUGGCUCUGAACUAUACAUUUCAGCUUUGUAGCUCUAGAAAUAGAGUUCUAACUCUGGAAAAUAUAUUUCUUAUUCACUUAAGGUACAACCAAGACUAUUGCUGGAGAAACAGCAAAGUCUUUUCUUUGAUUCCAUUAUAAUAACAUGUAUUAUUGAUCUUAGAAAAAAACAGUAUAACUGUAGAGUGGAAGACAGACAAAAUUAUCUCCACAAGAGUGGAACAAAAGAGUAGCCCUUGCCUUGGUGCAUUUGCAUUUGCUCUAUAAGCACAUCACACAGGCUGACUGAUGAGUGUAGGAAAAAAUAAGGGACCUGUCCUGUCAGCACACAACUGCCUGGCCCUGAGCCUGGAAAAAGCACAGAGAAAUGACAAUCAGCCCAGUAAAAACAACUGGGUAAGGAAACAGGCUUUUUGUAAAAGUGCCCACUUGGUACUGCUGACCUCUUGGGCAUGUGAGAGCUCCUGGGGAAAGCUGUGGGAGUCAUGGCCAUCGAAAGUUUGCUGGCAGGAAUAAAAUGUUGUAUUCACAUGUCCUCUGAAUAGAGAGAGAUUUAAAUUUCUCAGGAUUUCUCCUGAGAGAAGCUGUGAGAGAAGCAGAGAAAAGAGAAUCAAAACAAUUCUUAUCUCACUGCACUGGUUGUUGUGCACAUGUGGAAAGUGUUAUGAAGAUUGCUUACACAAGGCGAUUUCUCAAUGGGAGACUGGUGACAGUGUUUUGGAUUGAUUGACCAGUUGGAUCCAUGUGUGUGUCAGGACUCUCGGCAGAGAGAGUAAGGGGUUUUCUAGUUAGUGAUAGUUCUUGUUAGUGUAAUAUAGUUUUAGUAUAAUAUAGUAUAAUAAAGUAAUUAAUUUGCCUUCUGAUAUCAUGGAGUUCUGCACAGCAUACUUCCCACGUCAGGGAUCCCAGCACCAAUAAUAAACCACUACUGCAUGCCAGAAUUGAUCCCGCUCAUUCACAAACCUCAUGGACUGUGAGGAAGAAGGACUAGAAAUCCCAGGCAGAGUGGCAGGCAUAGGCUCAUUUGGCAAAUACAACCAGAGAAGAAAUAUUUCAGCCACACAGGCUGUGGUGUCAACACUUUGAGGCUGAAUUUACCAUAACUGACUACAUGGAAAAACACAUUCACCAAUUAGGAGCUAACUUACAAAUCCAUGAAACAUAAGAGACUCCAAAGCAGAUGUCUAAAGAUGGCAAUCCUUCUGUAUUCCAACAAGACAGCUUGCUGGCCAUGCCAAACACGAGAUCUCUGUUUUCCUCAGGAGUAAUAAUGAUUAAAAUUGGUUGAAAUGCCUGCCUGUGGGAAUUAAAGGACAAGAAGGAAUUAAGAGUUGGACUCCUACUGAGAUGGUGAGACACUAGUGUGUGAUAAUCUUUUGAAGGCUGAACCUGAAGCAGAGGAAAAAAACAGCCGAGUGCUCACACUUAA